UGAGAUUUAAGAUUUACCAUCUUGUGCACUGAUAGAAUAAUGUAUCUGUAUGUUGGAUGUCUGUUAGUGGAGUAGAUGCUUUCCCCCAACUGUUCCCACUUCAUAUAACCUCCGAUCCAGUACCAACACUUUAUUUAAUCUACCUCAAUACAAAAAGAAAGCAGCCCGAUCCUCCUUUUCCUACAGAGCACCCCAAUUGUGGAAUGAC
Non-coding RNA from Pelobates cultripes (western spadefoot toad), 208 nucleotides. Lineage: Eukaryota; Metazoa; Chordata; Amphibia; Anura; Pelobatidae. The record is from the annotation of a GenBank genome assembly.